GUCUUUCUGGAAUUUGUGCCAUGUCAGUUACUAAUGAUGUAAAUACUUUAAAAAUGGUAACAAACAAUUCACAAAGAUGGUUUUCUACAGAUUUGGUAGAAGUGCAAUUGCAAGCCAAAUCUGGCUUUUUACCAACUGGAAAUCUGGAGUGCCAGAAUUCAGAGGAGAUGAGAAAGUAAUGUUAUUGAUGCAGACACUGUGAUGCUGUAUUUGCUGCAAAGUAUCCAGGAGCAUGUCUAGAUAGCAGGAACUUGAAAGUGUGUACUACCAGGAAAGUUGUUUCCUUCUGUGUGUUGCCUUCCCUUGGAGUCUGCAAGUUUACCUGGAGGUACUCCUAGCAGUACCAGGAAAAAAAGACAAGAAAUUGAUGAUAAAUGCUAGUUUACAGGGUAGAAGACAAACUGUUUAUAAAGCUGGUUGACAGCAGGGUUAAGAGCAUUCAGUAGUGAAAAGGAAGCUUUAGGGGUAGACUCCAGUGACUUUUGGCGCUGCAAACACAAAAACAAAGCUCAUGGCUGAUAGAUUUGUUUUUAUUAUUAUAGAACAGAUGAACUAAAAUAAGCCAACAAUAUAAUUUUAUGCCAACAGCCAUCUUUCUAGCACAGGCAGUGACGGACUCAAUGUGCCCUUCUCCUCCCUCCCCGGGCCUCCAUUCAAUGGGAAACGUGUGGUGGUGGCUCUUGCACAUUGGUUUUAGACCAGUGAUGUUACUCUUUUCCCAGGCACAUCUUUAUAAAUAAAAAGAGGAGGCGGAGGGAGCAGGGGAGAGAGCAUAUAUGUUGUAGGAGCAAUAAGCAGAAAGGCUCGUGGAUCCUCUUGCACGUUCACAUGUUGUGACCAAGUAGAUGUAACAACUGGAGAAUCAUGCCCACUCUCAACACGUAGCAAGCCCCUAGUUGCUGCUCUAGUCAAGCCAGGAGUUUCUUCCCAUUCCAAGCUAGCAAAGGGCAAGAUGCACUCAACUGGGAAGCUUUUGGCAGGGGUCAGGGGCAGUCUAUGUAAAACCAAACCAGAAAACCACCCCGCCCCCCAAAAAACCCAAAUAAAUCUGCAUUUUAAGCCACUUCAAAGUAAAAGUCACUUCUUAUAAUAUAAUAGGUAUUUUUAAAAUGGCAAGACCACCAUCCUCGGAAGAUGUAGGGCUUGCACUCAAGACCAAAGAAAGAAAAACCAAAACAACCAAACCAAAACAAAGAAAUAAGAGUGGCCCCACUCUCAGGCUUGGCUCUUCUCUAAAAACAGCACUCACCAUCCACCUGAAUAGGUAAAAGGAAGAGUGGACAGAAAAUAAAAUAAAAAUUGGUGCAACUUCUCGCCAGGUGGCGCAUUAAACCAAAGCUCCAUACAGUCCCGUAUGACUACACGUCCUGUGGUGGCAGCAUAAUUUUUUUUCAGCUUUCAUAGCUGUAUAUGCCUGUAUGUAUAUCUGAACGUAUACAUACACAUACACACAUAAUAUAUAAUAUUGUUUUUAAUGUUAGUUUUGAUCCUGGAGGAGGCUCAUCUCUCUUUCACGUGGUUCUGUGCUCCUGCGCUGUUGCUGCUCCCAUUGCCGCUCCCAUUACUGCUGCUCCCGCUGCUGCUGCACAGGACCUCCGUGAGGUCGUCCAUGACGGUGGUCUCUUUAAGGUCCACCAGGUUGAACUCCCUGAUGAAUAGGAUAAAAUGUGUGUAGAGCGUGUUUAAGUGUCCGUGCAGCUCCAGUGCCAAAGUCUCCUUAAAGUGUGAGGAGUAGAUAUGGGCCAGCACGUGGAACAGGUACUUGCAGAUCUUCUUCACUAAGGACUCAAACGAGUUUGGAAAUUCUUUGCCUGAAAGGAAGACAGAAACACCGUAGCAGUUCCAGCCGGUCACCUCCAGUCCCACAGCAGCAUUUAUUCUGGCAAAAUUGGGCCUGAAAAAUCCUGUUCUUAUUUAAUCUUUGGAGGGGAAUGGAGACUAAACAAUCUGAGGAAAAAAAGCCCCGUUAGGCAGGGAAGAGGAGCGAUGCUGCUGGCAAUGCAAUUUAUUUCCCACUUAAUGCAUCAGGGUUCUGAAAGAAACGCUAAUAACAAGGUUAAAUUUUACUGGCAACACGCUGUGUUUAAUACCCACAUGGCGACUGUUCUCUGAACACAGGCUGCUUCCUGGAACAAAAAGCUGUACCAGUGGUAAAACAUUAGCCAAGGAGUGGGAGAUCUUCAUCCCAAUUUGUAUGCCAGAAGUGUAAUUCUUUGACACUGCAGGAACGAACCCAAAUUAAAAUAACCCCUUAAAAAUAUACUGUGAAAGCUGCCUGGUAUUAACAUUCAAGCUGCAUGUCAACUUUCACCUUGCUUUUUUGCACCUCCAAAGAGCCGUAUGAAGCAGCUACCCAAAGGCUAGCGUACCGUAUUUUGUUGGAAAGACGUCCUCGUCUGUCACAAGUUUCUGCACUGAGCUCAUGACGAAGUCGACGUACUGCGGAGCAGUGCAUUUGAUCUUCUUCCCCCGCUCGUCAUACCAGUAGUACUGUCUGUGGAGAGAGCCCACAGCGUCACGUUACGCCCUGCAUCCUCAGCUGAACUCCUAAGAGGGCUGAUCAACAAUGAGCUGCAAGGACCCGUAGGUGCCACUUGGAAAGGGGAGUUUUAUGCAUACUGACCAUCAAAAUUGUUCUGAAGCCAUUAAAGAAAAAUGUUACACAGCAACUGAGAAGCUCUUAUUUACAGUGUGUUGUCACUGCCCAGAAAGAUUGAUCCAGGACCUGAGGCUGGUGGUGUGAAGGCAGUAGCAAUAUGUGAUGACUGUAGACCCUCAGUCUGUACUAGGCCAUAUGAAGACUGGAGGAAAGAGAGCAGAGGAAAUGCAAGAGGAGGAAAGAACAAGACUAUGAACACGCGCUGGAGAGAAAACAACACCCAAAUAACAGGCUUAUUCAUAAUGAAGUGGAUCUCAUAUUCCAUUAUGUUGGACCGUGCUAAUCAAGAGCAGGAGUUUAUGGUAAAUGUUUCUUAUGCUCACCAUAUACAGUACAGCUACAAAGCCUUCUUUCUAAGCGACAGCUAGUCAACAC
Molecule: long non-coding RNA, 3034 nt
Organism: Lagopus leucura (white-tailed ptarmigan)
Lineage: Eukaryota; Metazoa; Chordata; Aves; Galliformes; Phasianidae
Exons: 4
Source: RefSeq, a predicted model, not a curated record